GAAAUUACUCCUAUUUUUGACACUUUUAUUUGUGACCGUUACGUGGGACGAAACAAAUAAGGAUAUCUUGGAUCACAAGAUUUCAAUCUCUAUUUUAAGGAUUUGUUAUUAAUGAAAAGAUUUUUAAGGAUUUGUCAUUAAUGAAAAGAUUUUUAAGGUUUUGUCAUUAAUGAAGCAAAUAAGGAUGUCUUGGAUCACAAGAUUUCAAUCUCUAUUUUACACCUCAUCUUUAAUUAUUGACCCAAAUAAAAAAGUCAAUAAAU
RNAcentral lists this long non-coding RNA (263 nucleotides) under Lathyrus oleraceus (garden pea). Its description in RNAcentral is "Pisum sativum (pea) long non-coding RNA (PSAT_LNC040992)". Lineage: Eukaryota; Viridiplantae; Streptophyta; Magnoliopsida; Fabales; Fabaceae. The record is from RNAcentral.